This 498-nucleotide ribosomal RNA is filed under the name uncultured bacterium. Its description in RNAcentral is "partial 16S ribosomal RNA". It matches the Rfam family "Bacterial small subunit ribosomal RNA", at positions 28 to 507 of the family's 1533-position model. The record is from RNAcentral.
GACGAACGCUGGCGGCGUGCCUAAUACAUGCGAGUCGAGCGGACGAUUCGAAAGCUUGCUUUUGAAUCGUUAGCGGCGGACGGGUGAGUAACACGUGGGCAACCUGCCCUGUAGACGGGGAUAACACCGAGAAAUCGGUGCUAAUACCGGAUAACACGAAAUGUCGCAUGACGUUUCGUUGAAAGGCGGCGCAAGCUGCCGCUACAGGAUGGGCCCGCGGCGCAUUAGCUAGUUGGUGAGGUAACGGCUCACCAAGGCGACGAUGCGUAGCCGACCUGAGAGGGUGAUCGGCCACACUGGGACUGAGACACGGCCCAGACUCCUACGGGAGGCAGCAGUAGGGAAUCUUCCGCAAUGGACGAAAGUCUGACGGAGCAACGCCGCGUGAGCGAAGAAGGCCUUCGGGUCGUAAAGCUCUGUUGUUAGGGAAGAACAAGUAACGUAGUAACUGACGUUACUAUGACGGUACCUAACGAGAAAGCCACGGCUAACUACGUG